This is a long non-coding RNA of Lolium rigidum, 1065 nucleotides long. RefSeq lists it as uncharacterized. The record is from RefSeq and is a predicted model, not a curated record. Lineage: Eukaryota; Viridiplantae; Streptophyta; Magnoliopsida; Poales; Poaceae. The transcript is spliced from 4 exons.
ACAUUAAAACUGGAACUUUCCUCUUGAUAUACCAUAUCAAUUAUUUAAUGUGUAUUAUGCAUUUCACUUUUCUUCCCACUCGCAUGCUGAGAAGAUCACUGCAAGUAUCAGUUAAUGCAUUUGGAAGUUUAUUGUUUUUAUUCAUGGACAAGAAUCAUAAAUUCGGUCAUGUAUUCACCAGUUGCUUUUGUUUCCUGCGUAGGUUUUCUUAUGCUUCAUUGCGUUGUGCAUUUACAUUUGAAUUUUCAUUACUCGUCAAAGACUCGGUGAUUUACUUGGCUAGUUUGGGUGUGAGAAUCAAAAUAUCAGCAUGGUAUAAUUCACGAGUAAAAUAGAAUUUGUUGCUGCACUACUGAUAUUAUGGACAUCUUUGUCCUUUGUGUACAUAAAUCUGGGGUUCUUGCAUUUCAGCGAACGGAAGUUAUCAGUUUAGUGCUUAGCAAGGCUGCAGUAAUCGGAACCCAUCUGAAUUGCGCUCAGGCCCGUGAAGUCCCUCCAUCGGGCCAUGUCAAUGUCUGACCGACAGUUUUGUGUUCCAAUUCUCAUCAGGCCAGUAGACUCUAGACUGUUUGAUGCCACCGAAGAUGAUCUGACAAGCGAAAGAGGCACUUGAGCCGCAUGUGGCAUGGGCUCGUAGGCACCUCUACUCGUCGCCCACCAUGUUGGGGGUGGUCCGCAAAGGAUGUCCAGAACCUUCACUUCAGUCAUGGACUCAUUCCCGCAUUUGCCGGCGAGGACGAAGCGCAGGAUCAGAGAUGCUGAUGGAGCUGAUGAUGUCAUCCGGGCUGUACACGUCCCGGUGCUCUAGGAACAUAUGUACAGUCAAAAGGGGGAGGAUGAAGACGAGAAGGAGACCGUGAAUGCAGUUGGAGGCGGCAAGUACCCUUUUUUUUUGGAGCUGAAAAGGAUGAUAUUACAAGUACCCUUUUGUCGGAGUGGCAAUACUACAAGGGAUCCCAGGGCGCCAUUUGCAGCACAUGUUGACCAUAUUGCUCCUCAUGACUAACUAUAUUACUUGUCUUCUAUUGGAGAUGCCAUAACCAACAACUAUAUCAUGCGAGCUCC